AGAGUUUGAUCCUGGCUCAGAUUGAACGCUGGCGGCAUGCCUUACACAUGCAAGUCGAACGGCAGCACGGGGGCAACCCUGGUGGCGAGUGGCGAACGGGUGAGUAAUGCAUCGGAACGUACCUGGUAGUGGGGGAUAGCUCGGCGAAAGCCGGAUUAAUACCGCAUACGCACCAAGGUGGAAAGCGGGGGACCGAAAGGCCUCGCGCUAUCAGAGCGGCCGAUGUCGGAUUAGCUUGUUGGUGAGGUAAAAGCUCACCAAGGCCGCGAUCCGUACCUGGUCUGAGAGGACGACCAGGCACACUGGGACUGAGACACGGCCCACACUCCUACGGGAGGCAGCAGUGGGGAAUUUUGGACAAUGGGCGAAAGCCUGAUCCAGCAAUGCCGCGUGUGUGAAGAAGGCCUUCGGGUUGUAAAGCACUUUUGUCCGGAAAGAAAUCUCCUGGGUUAAUACCUCGGGGGGAUGACGGUACCGGAAGAAUAAGCACCGGCUAACUACGUGCCAGCAGCCGCGGUAAUACGUAGGGUGCGAGCGUUAAUCGGAAUUACUGGGCGUAAAGCGUGCGCAGGCGGUUAUGCAAGACAGGUGUGAAACCCCCGGGCUCAACCUGAGAACUGCACUUGUGACUGCAUGACUAGAGUGCGUCAGAGGGGAGGUGGAAUUCCGCGUGUAGCAGUGAA
This 683-nucleotide ribosomal RNA is filed under the name uncultured bacterium. Its description in RNAcentral is "bacterial SSU rRNA". It matches the Rfam family "Bacterial small subunit ribosomal RNA", at positions 8 to 685 of the family's 1533-position model. The record is from RNAcentral.